This 477-nucleotide ribosomal RNA is filed under the name uncultured organism. RNAcentral's name for it is "bacterial SSU rRNA". It matches the Rfam family "Bacterial small subunit ribosomal RNA", at positions 56 to 527 of the family's 1533-position model. The record is from RNAcentral.
UGCAGUCGACGGAACGAUGGGAGCUUGCUCCCAGGCGUCGAGUGGCGGACGGGUGAGUAAUACUUAGGAAUCUGCCCAUUAGUGGGGGACAACUAGAAGAAAUUCUAGCUAAUACCGCAUACGCCCUACGGGGGAAAGCGGGGGAUCUUCGGACCUCGCGCUAAUGGAUGAGCCUAAGUCGGAUUAGCUUGUUGGUGAGGUAAUGGCUCACCAAGGCGACGAUCCGUAGCUGGUCUGAGAGGACGAUCAGCCACACUGGGACUGAGACACGGCCCAGACUCCUACGGGAGGCAGCAGUGGGGAAUAUUGGGCAAUGGACGAAAGUCUGACCCAGCCAUGCCGCGUGUGUGAAGAAGGCUCUAGGGUUGUAAAGCACUUUAAGUAGGGAGGAAAGGUUGUGUGUUAAUAGCACAUAGCUGUGACGUUACCUACAGAAUAAGCACCGGCUAACUCCGUGCCAGCAGCCGCGGUAAUACG